UACGAAGGGGGCUAGCGUUGCUCGGAAUUACUGGGCGUAAAGGGCGCGUAGGCGGCCAACUAAGUCAGACGUGAAAUCCCUCGGCUCAACCGGGGAACUGCGUCUGAUACUGGAUGGCUUGAAUUCGGGAGAGGGAUGCGGAAUUCCAGGUGUAGCGGUGAAAUGCGUAGAUAUCUGGAGGAACACCGGUGGCGAAGGCGGCAUCCUGGACCGAGAUUGACGCUGAUGCGCGAAAGCCAGGGGAGCAAACGGG
This 253-nucleotide ribosomal RNA is filed under the name uncultured bacterium. RNAcentral describes it as "partial 16S ribosomal RNA". It matches the Rfam family "Bacterial small subunit ribosomal RNA", at positions 524 to 776 of the family's 1533-position model. The record is from RNAcentral.